Molecule: long non-coding RNA, 4896 nt
Organism: Epinephelus fuscoguttatus (brown-marbled grouper)
Lineage: Eukaryota; Metazoa; Chordata; Actinopteri; Perciformes; Serranidae
Exons: 4
Source: RefSeq, a predicted model, not a curated record
AUUUAUACAAGGUAAUUCAAAGCACUUGAAGGGGCAUAGAAAUACAUUUAAAACAAGACAUUAAGAAAACAUUAAAACAGCAUUUAGAGACAAUAAAUAGCUAAAAAUGAGGAAAAAUGCAUUUUAAAAAAAAUUGAGAAAUGCAAGCAAAUAAAUAGUUACAAAUGGAAAAGGUGUAUCCAGUUUACUGGAAAGCCACAGUGAACAAUCAUGUUUUAAGCCCUGAUUUAAUUGAGUUAACCAUCUUAGCAGACUUCAGGUAUUCAGGAAGUUUCCUCUACAGGUGGGGAGCAUAGAAAUUAAAAGCUGCUUCACCUUGCUUGGUUUAGCAUUAGCAAAAAAUUAAGAAAACUGAAAAACAGCACAGAAACAAUGUGAUCAAUCUCAUAUGUCAACCUGCUCUUCUGGUUUUAAUCAACCCAAACAUAAAGCUGGAUGGCUUCAGCUCCAAAAAACAAUUGGAUUUAAUUUUAGCUACUAAUCUGCACAUUAAUCCAUUCAGUAACAGUAUUGAGCUCAAAACUUAUGUAGAUUCUCUCUCAGCUCUACUUAAAAGUGGUCAUUUCUUCUUCACUGGAUUACCUGCUGCAGACCUGUCACCUUAACUGCCCCCUCGUCAGAGCAGAACAGAGUGUUGACAUAUCACUAGUGGAAAACACCGACCAAUGCAACCAACUGUCACUGGGGAAAAGGCAAAGACUGGUUUUACAGUGCAGACACUGCAGAGCCAGUAAGACUGCUCUGGUUUCAAAGUACAUCCUACUUUCUAUGUAUAUACAUACUCAUGUGCGACCUUUAAAAAUCCCUUUGGAGCAGCACCUCUCUUUCCUUCCUAUCGCCUGCGGCUUCUUCCGCCCCUCCGUCUUAUUCUCUCGCCUUCCCUGUCUAAUUAUUUCAUGUCUGCAGGCUCAUACACAGACACUGAUAAAGCGGCACCAGUGAGAUCCCAACAAGCGUAGUGUGUGGGUGGAGAGCAGUUUACUUUCACUUGUGCUGUCCUGUUUUUAGGGAAAUCACUCCUUGAUGCUUUGAUGAGAAAGAAGCACUCUUUAUGAUUCUGAAGACACUAAACCUUCCAUGAUGUCCGGCCUGUGGCUGUGUUUGAGUCUGCUCUGUGCUGCUACUUUGCUACAAAGCAGUGCCUGGUCACAUGAAGUGAUGUGCAACAAGACAGCGAAAGUUGUAGCUGCACAAACAGUGACACUGAACUGCACUAUAGACAUCAAGAACUGCACAGGCAUACGCUAUCACUGGAAUAAUGCACAAGGUGACAUACAAUGUAGCAAUAGCUUGAAAUACAGAUGUGAAUGGGAUCGUCUGACUUAUGUGUCGUUGACCAUCUCAAAUGUCACGGAAGAGGAAAACUACACCAUUCGUAUACAGACAAACUGUGGUGUGACUAAACCAUCCACUACGGAAGUGCAAGUCAUCAAGUCCUCCAGCAUAGCCAAUGAAGGUGGGAAGCAAGAUGAAACAGAAACCAUGCCAAUACUCCUUCUUAUAUUGGGUAUUGUCAUUGUCCUCGCCGUCAUCGCUUUGGGCGUUCUGUAUUUGACAAGGAAAAGACGCCAGGAGACGACACUGACAAAGGACACUGGGCAGAGGAAAGGAGACUUGCUGAUUGUAUGACAAAUCAGAAUAAGUGCUUCAACAUAUGUGUGUAUGUGUGUGGUGGUGGGGGUGGAGAGGAGGGUUACAUUUUUUUUUUCUUCCAGAAUUCUUUGAGGUCUUUGUACAGAUUGAUCCAUGUAAAUACAAUGCUUUGAUUUUAAUAAAGGGGCACGUGUAGUUGUACUCCAACAGACCUGUAAACAGACUCUGUUGUGUAAAAUCAGUUCCCCUUUGAUUUUAGGAAAAUAACCUCUGAUGAUGUCAUGUUAUUAUAAAAGAUGCUGUUGAGUUGCAUUAUGGGAAAUGUAGGCUCCAGUAUUUUUGGAGUUUGGAGUAGGGAUUAAAGUCAAUCUGAUCUACUAUACAUGCAUUAAAUUUACGUGGUGGCACUACAGAAACAAUGCCAAUGAAAAGUCAUUACGAACCUCUGUUUUGGUGGACACACUAAUUCUGUGGUUCAACGUCAUGCAAUAGGUUGUGGUUAAUGUUACAGGAGUGGUUGAUGAGACAAAUGAAACACUAAUUUAAAGGACCAUGUUCCUGUCCUGUGUGAAACUAAAAAGACAAUAUUGACUUCUCUGCCUUAACUUGCUCAUAUCCUUUAUGUAGUUACAUCACGCUACAUGAUGCACUUAUAUCACUUUACAAGGUACUUGCGUCCCAUCAGUAACAAAUAUAGUUCAGUCAGGAGAGACUCAGUUUGAGAAAAAAUAAUAUUUAUUUACAUGUGCACACAAGUAUGAGAAAUGUGAAAAGUCUUUGGCAAUUAGACCCCUUUGUGAUGUCAUUUAUUCCAGGAGGGUGGUAGAGAUGUAGUAGUUUAGAGAUCCCCCCUCAUGGAGUCUUGACACUGGUGGUGGUGAUGAUGGUGAUGAGAUGAGGAGGUAGCUGAGGAUCUGGAUGUGAAGAGGUGUCGGAUUUUGAUGACCUUGUCCUGGGCUCUGGAUAAGGUGAAUAGGGUGAAUGGGGUGGAGGAGGGCAUGACCAUAAAAGCUGACAGGAGCAGGGAGGAGAACAGAUUUAAAGUUUGGCAGCAGCAACAUCAAUGGCUGAAGGAGAUCGUGGCAAAGUUUGAUUGGCCUACCAGGAGAGGAAACACCCAUAGUCAGCUGAUUGGUGGGAGUGGGAUGGAGAAAGAAUUGUGAAUGGAUAUAGCAUAAAGAAAGUCUUCCAGAUUGAGUUUAGGCUGAGCCUAAUUUAAGUCAAUGCAAAAUGUGUUUUUUUCCCUUAGCCUAUCCAAGUUUUGCUGCCCAUAGACUAAAUGGUUUCUGUAUCCUUCAUGUGUUGUUGUUACUUCGGGGGAAUUUUGUUUUAGAAAUGUGUUUUUGAAAAAUAAUGAAUUGCAUUUUUGCAACUUUAAUAAUCAGGCAUUGAAUAGAUAACCAAAUAACCAGUCAUGUUUUGAGGCCUAUACAGAUAGUCAAUAAUUUAAAAGUGUGAAACACUGAUUACUAUUUAUUUUUCUAUUCUUAUUGUAUUGCCACCUGAUUGUUCAGAUUCAUAAGAGGGAACUAGUGAGGAAGACAAGGAUUGAUAACAGCAGCAAUAAAAUUUGAAUAGUAGCUCUUGUGAGGAGGCAGAGGAGGGAGCAAACCAGAGCGAAUUAGGGAAAAUGUUUAGGUUGAAUAUAUAGAAGUACUUAAAAUGUUUCUGUAAAAGAUGUAGUGGUUUCACUGUACAUAUUGUAUUGUAUGUGUCUGUUUGCAAUAAUACCUAAUGUGAUGUGCGUUAGUAAAUGAGAGAAAGGAAGGAACAAGCCCUUUAUUUCUCUCUAAAACAGGAGUUUCUCUUAUUUGUUGUUAUUUGUGUUUUAUGUCUCUGUAGACUAUAUGUUUGAUGUUAUGUGUGACAGGAUUUUGUUGAUAAAUAAUACCAGAAAAGAACUCAGCUGCAGUAGAUUCCUAUCGGAGAUUAAAGUUAUAAAUAAUAUCUAUGUCUAAUAGUAAUAUAGUAAGCAAUGAGAUAGGCAUUGCGAGUUACAACUGUAGCAGUCUUGCUGUUUGCAAAAAAAAAAAAGAGUAUUAUAUUUUCAUGGUUGAAAGAAAAAAAUAGCAUGUCUUUUUUCAUACAGACUUAAUGUCCUAAAUUUGAUAAUACAAGAAGUAAAAAAGUUUGUUCGAUUGAUAUAUAUGGGCUGAACACAGAUGAACCCAUUUUCUUUUUCUUUUCUUUUUUUUUAUAAAAUAGGGAAUCAAUUGUUGGACACUGACAGAGAAAUCAUUAUGUUAGAUUUUAGAUGGAGUUUUGGACCAAAAAGGAAAUUCUGUUACAAAAAUCUCAUGAAAUUCUUAGAUUUAGUUGAUACCUGACAUUUCAGGAAUCCAAAGGAUAUUAUACAUAUAACCAAGAUUAGUUACAUAGAUGAGGAAAGUUUAUUGAAGCUGAGGUGUGGUGAGACCAGAGAGAUAGGUGGCCUUAUUUAAAGCAGUAAAUGGUCUCUACUCUUAACUGUAUAUAAAGAUUGUCUUUUCUUUUUUAACUCGUUAUUAUGUUGUUAUGCCAAUAUGAAAUUUCUAUUUCAUGACUGUUUAUCCCUGUGUUGUGUGAGGUGCAUUGUUUAGCUUUUGUUCUGUUUUGUUUUCUGUUUUUGUGAUGAUGAACUUUAUUUGUGUAUUGGUUGUGUUGUAUGUAAUCACCACCAGCUUACACUGGACUCCAUCUCUAAAUGCAAAAAAGGUGGGAAAAAAAUUAAAGAAAAGAAAAUUAUGAAUAAUCAACAUUAAAAAUGAAAAACAAAAACAGAAAGAAAGAAAGAAAGAAAGAAAGAAAGAAAGAAAGAAAGAAAGAAAGAAAGAAAAAAUGUCCCCACUAGGGGGGGUGGUGGUGGUUGGCUUGAAAAAAAAAAAGAGAGAGAAAAACCCAGCAAUAAGAUAUUUUGUUUAGAAAUGUUUAUAGGCCAUUGUUUAUUCAAACAUAUAUAAACUGUAUGUAAAUAACUAUUGUUCAGUUUUUCCACAUUUUUAAAACUUUGUAUGCAAAACAUGAAAAAAAGUAGCGGAUUAAUUGGUUAUAAAAUGUUUUAAAAGUUGGCACAUGAUAUAUUACAUGAAGGGGGAAAUGUUAAAUUUGUACCCUAAAUGGGCAAUGUAUCUCAGGAGAAACAAUUUGUAAUUUGGAAAAUAAAAGUUAUGUUUUUAUAUAAAAAAUGAAAUUGUAUUAUUUUAGCCUAGAUACAUUAGAAAAUAAGCAACUAAUUAAUCCAAAAUAUGCCUGCUGGUUUAAGGGUUAAAAGAAAAAAAAAGAUGUGCGCAGCGUCCAUGAUGUCCGCAACUGGUUUGUGGCCUU